This 601-nucleotide ribosomal RNA is filed under the name uncultured archaeon. RNAcentral's name for it is "bacterial SSU rRNA". It matches the Rfam family "Archaeal small subunit ribosomal RNA", at positions 10 to 616 of the family's 1478-position model. The record is from RNAcentral.
GAUCCUGCCGGAGGCUACCGCUAUUGGAGUUCGAUUAAGCCAUGCGAGUCGAGAGUCUUAGGGACUCGGCGUACCGCUCAGUAACACGUGGGUAACCUGCCCUAUGCUGGGGAAUAACCUCGGGAAACUGAGAAUAAUGCCCCAUAGUCCACAAUGCCUGGAACGGUUUGUGGAUUAAAGCUCCGGCGGCAUAGGAUGGGCCUGCGGCGUAUCAGGUCGUAGGGGGUGUAACGUACCCUCUAGCCAUCGACGCGUACGGGUGUUGGGAGACAUAGCCCGGAGAUGGAUUCUGGGACACGAAUCCAGACCCUACGGGGUGCAGCAGGCGCGAAAACUUGGCAAUGCGAGAAAUCGUGACCAGGGAACUCCAAGUGGCUGGGGUAAGACCCAGUCUUUUCUUGACUCUUCAAAGGUCUUGGAAUAAGGGGUGGGUAAGGACGGUGCCAGCCGCCGCGGUAAUACCGGCGCCUCAAGUGGUAGUCGAUUUUAUUGGGCCUAAAACGUCCGUAGCCUGUUUGGUACAUUCGUGGGUAAAUCAACCAGCUCAACUGAUUGAAUUCUGCGAGCACGGCCAGACUUGGGACCGGGAGAGGUGUGGGGU